Molecule: ribosomal RNA, 464 nt
Filed under: uncultured bacterium
Lineage: Bacteria
Description: partial 16S ribosomal RNA
Rfam family: Bacterial small subunit ribosomal RNA
Source: RNAcentral
GACGAACGCUGGCGGCGUGCUUAAAACAUGCAGGUCGAACGGGGGCUUCGGCCCCAGUGGCAAACGGCUGAGUAACGCGUGGGUGACCUACCUGGAAGUGGGGAAUAACUGCCCGAAAGGGUGGCUAAUACCGCAUGUGAUGGCGAGACCGAUCUCGUCAUGAGAGUCUUCGGACGCUUCGAGAGGGGCCCGCGUUCGAUUAGCUAGUUGGUGGGGUAACGGCCUACCAAGGCGACGAUCGAUAGCUGGUCUAAGAGGAUGAUCAGCCAGACUGGGACUGCGACACGGCCCAGACUCCUACGGGAGGCAGCAGUUAGGAAUUUUGGGCAAUGGGCGAAAGCCUGACCCAGCAACGCCGCGUGGGUGAUGAAGGCCUUCGGGUCGUAAAGCCCUUUUUCAGGGGAAGAUGAUGACGGUACCCUGAGAAUAAGCCCCGGCUAACCACGUGCCAGCCGCCGCCGUAA